RNAcentral lists this ribosomal RNA (311 nucleotides) under uncultured bacterium. RNAcentral's name for it is "bacterial SSU rRNA". It matches the Rfam family "Bacterial small subunit ribosomal RNA", at positions 28 to 334 of the family's 1533-position model. The record is from RNAcentral.
GACGAACGCUGGCGGCGCGCCUAACACAUGCAAGUCGAACGGAGCUUUGAGAGCUUGCUUUUAAAGCUUAGUGGCGAACGGGUGAGUAACGCGUGAGUAACCUGCCCUGGAGUGGGGGACAACAGUUGGAAACGACUGCUAAUACCGCAUAAGCCCACGGCCCGGCAUCGGGUUGAGGGAAAAGGAUUUAUUCGCUUCAGGAUGGACUCGCGUCCAAUUAGCUAGUUGGUGGGGUAACGGCCUACCAAGGCGACGAUCAGUAGCCGGACUGAGAGGUUGAACGGCCACAUUGGGACUGAGAUACGGCCCAG